This 384-nucleotide ribosomal RNA is filed under the name uncultured bacterium. RNAcentral's name for it is "bacterial SSU rRNA". It matches the Rfam family "Bacterial small subunit ribosomal RNA", at positions 370 to 772 of the family's 1533-position model. The record is from RNAcentral.
AAUGGGGGAAACCCUGAUGCAGCGACGCCGCGUGAGCGAAGAAGGCCUUCGGGUCGUAAAGCUCUGUCCUAAGGGAAGAAACGGACGGUACCUUAGGAGGAAGCCCCGGCUAACUACGUGCCAGCAGCCGCGGUAAUACGUAGGGGGCGAGCGUUAUCCGGAAUUAUUGGGCGUAAAGGGUGCGUAGGCGGCCUUUUAAGUCAGAUGUGAAAGGCUACGGCUUAACCGUAGUUAGCAUUUGAAACUAAAAGGCUUGAGUGCAGGAGAGGAGAGUGGAAUUCCUAGUGUAGCGGUGAAAUGCGUAGAUAUUAGGAGGAACACCAGUGGCGAAGGCGACUCUCUGGACUGCAACUGACGCUGAGGCACGAAAGCGUGGGGAGCGAA